This 495-nucleotide ribosomal RNA is filed under the name uncultured bacterium. RNAcentral's name for it is "partial 16S ribosomal RNA". It matches the Rfam family "Bacterial small subunit ribosomal RNA", at positions 28 to 507 of the family's 1533-position model. The record is from RNAcentral.
GACGAACGCUGGCGGCGUGUCUAAUACAUGCAAGUAGAACGCUGAAGGAGGAGCUUGCUUCUCUGGAUGAGUUGCGAACGGGUGAGUAACGCGUAGGUAACCUGCCUGGUAGCGGGGGAUAACUAUUGGAAACGAUAGCUAAUACCGCAUAACAGUAGAUAUCGCAUGAUAUCUACUUGAAAGGUGCAAUUGCAUCACUACCAGAUGGACCUGCGUUGUAUUAGCUAGUUGGUGAGGUAACGGCUCACCAAGGCGACGAUACAUAGCCGACCUGAGAGGGUGAUCGGCCACACUGGGACUGAGACACGGCCCAGACUCCUACGGGAGGCAGCAGUAGGGAAUCUUCGGCAAUGGACGGAAGUCUGACCGAGCAACGCCGCGUGAGUGAAGAAGGUUUUCGGAUCGUAAAGCUCUGUUGUAAGAGAAGAACGAGUGUGAGAGUGGAAAGUUCACACUGUGACGGUAUCUUACCAGAAAGGGACGGCUAACUACGUG